AGAGUUUGAUCCUGGCUCAGGACGAACGCUGGCGGCGUGCCUAAUACAUGCAAGUCGAGCGGACCACUUCGGUGGUCAGCGGCGGACGGGUGAGUAACACGUGGGCAACCUGCCUGUAAGACUGGGAUAACACCGGGAAACCGGUGCUAAUACCGGAUAAUCCUUUCCUUCACAUGAAGGGAAGCUGAAAGACGGUUUCGGCUGUCACUUACAGAUGGGCCCGCGGCGCAUUAGCUAGUUGGUGAGGUAACGGCUCACCAAGGCAACGAUGCGUAGCCGACCUGAGAGGGUGAUCGGCCACACUGGGACUGAGACACGGCCCAGACUCCUACGGGAGGCAGCAGUAGGGAAUCUUCCGCAAUGGACGAAAGUCUGACGGAGCAACGCCGCGUGAGCGAUGAAGGCCUUCGGGUCGUAAAGCUCUGUUGUCAGGGAAGAACAAGUACCGGAGUAACUGCCGGUACCUUGACGGUACCUGACCAGAAAGCCACGGCUAACUACGUGCCAGCAGCCGCGGUAAUACGUAGGUGGCAAGCGUUGUCCGGAAUUAUUGGGCGUAAAGCGCGCGCAGGCGGUCCUUUAAGUCUGAUGUGAAAGCCCACGGCUCAACCGUGGAGGGUCAUUGGAAACUGGGGGACUUGAGUGCAGAAGAGGAAAGUGGAAUUCCACGUGUAGCGGUGAAAUGCGUAGAGAUGUGGAGGAACACCAGUGGCGAAGGCGACUUUCUGGUCUGUAACUGACGCUGAGGCGCGAAAGCGUGGGGAGCAAACAGGAUUAGAUACCCUGGUAGUCCACGCCGUAAACGAUGAGUGCUAAGUGUUAGAGGGUUUCCGCCCUUUAGUGCUGCAGCUAACGCAUUAAGCACUCCGCCUGGGGAGUACGGCCGCAAGGCUGAAACUCAAAGGAAUUGACGG
Molecule: ribosomal RNA, 914 nt
Filed under: uncultured Bacilli bacterium
Lineage: Bacteria; Bacillati; Bacillota; Bacilli
Description: SSU rRNA
Rfam family: Bacterial small subunit ribosomal RNA
Source: RNAcentral